GCUGUUUUGGCAGAAUCUAAUGCUAUAAAUUUAGGAUUUAUAUAUGUAAUUUAUAUUACAAAUAGUA
RNAcentral lists this transfer RNA (67 nucleotides) under Gorpis humeralis. RNAcentral describes it as "tRNA-Leu". Lineage: Eukaryota; Metazoa; Arthropoda; Insecta; Hemiptera; Nabidae. The record is from RNAcentral.